UACGUAGGGGGGCAAGCGUUGUCCGGAUUUUAUUGGGCGUAAAGAGCGUGUAGGCGGUUUGGUAGGUCCGUUGUGAAAACUCGAGGCUCAACCUCGAGACGCCGAUGGAAACCAUCAGACUAGAGUCCGGAAGAGGAGAGUGGAAUUCCUGGUGUAGCGGUGAAAUGCGCAGAUAUCAAGCGGAACACCAGUGGCGAAGGCGAGUCCCUGGACAACUCCUGACACUGAGGCAACGAAGCUAGGGAGCAACAGG
This 253-nucleotide ribosomal RNA is filed under the name uncultured bacterium. RNAcentral's name for it is "partial 16S ribosomal RNA". It matches the Rfam family "Bacterial small subunit ribosomal RNA", at positions 524 to 776 of the family's 1533-position model. The record is from RNAcentral.